AUUGAACGCUGGCGGCAGGCCUAACACAUGCAAGUCGAGCGGAUGAAGGGAGCUUGCUCCUGGAUUCAGCGGCGGACGGGUGAGUAAUGCCUAGGAAUCUGCCUGGUAGUGGGGGAUAACGUCCGGAAACGGGCGCUAAUACCGCAUACGUCCUGAGGGAGAAAGUGGGGGAUCUUCGGACCUCACGCUAUCAGAUGAGCCUAGGUCGGAUUAGCUAGUUGGUGGGGUAAAGGCCUACCAAGGCGACGAUCCGUAACUGGUCUGAGAGGAUGAUCAGUCACACUGGAACUGAGACACGGUCCAGAAACCUACGGGAGGCAGCAGUGGGGAAUAUUGGACAAUGGGCGAAAGCCUGAUCCAGCCAUGCAGCGUGUGUGAAGAAGGUCUUCGGAUUGUAAAGCACUUUAAGUUGGGAGGAAGGGCAGUAAGUUAAUACCUUGCUGUUUUGACGUUACCAACAGAAUAAGCAACGGCUAACUUCGUG
This 484-nucleotide ribosomal RNA is filed under the name uncultured bacterium. Its description in RNAcentral is "partial 16S ribosomal RNA". It matches the Rfam family "Bacterial small subunit ribosomal RNA", at positions 30 to 507 of the family's 1533-position model. The record is from RNAcentral.